This is an RNA transcript of Leptopilina boulardi, 3347 nucleotides long. RefSeq lists it as uncharacterized. The transcript has 8 exons. NCBI's taxonomy places the organism in Eukaryota, Metazoa, Arthropoda, Insecta, Hymenoptera, Figitidae. The record is from RefSeq and is a predicted model, not a curated record.
UUUUACAGAUAAAAAAUAGUACAAUAGUCACAAUCUCAUAACUUUAAAACUAUUUGAAUUUCUUUAAAUUAAAGAAAAAUAUUUUCCCAUUUUUUCAGAUAUAGAAAAUAGCCGUACUAAAAAUGCGAUCAAAUAAAGAAUCAGUACCGAAAUUAUUUUCACGAAUACCAAGUACAUCGAAUUCGCUUUUAAUGAAAUCGACCACUUCUGAUAGAAUUCGUAAACCAACGAUACUUGUCACAAAACCAAGGGAAUCGUUACUUGAAAAGAGACAAACGAUGCGUAUUACCGAUAAUGGUGAAGAUGUUACGCCAAAAUUAUUAAUACACAAGGAAUAUGAAGAGAGACAAUUGCGUACAAUUGAUAUGGAUAGUUCACUACCAAGUAGUAAUUCACUAUUCAAUACCUCAUCAUCCGUAAUAGGAUUACUUCGUUCUGGUUCUUAUACUGUUUCGUCUUCACUUCAAGUUGCAUUACUUGGAAGUGAAGAAAUCCACAUGGAUAGUCUACUUUCGACCGAAAGAGUCGAUGAAUUAGAUUCUGAAAAUGGAAGAGUACCAUCGGAAUUUCAUUUAGAUGGGGUAGAAUCAAAUUCAUUUGACGCCAAACCGGAGAAAAUGACAAUUACACUAAAAGAAACAGAGACAUUUUUCAUUUUUGAGAUGCCACAAUUAACUGCAGAUAAAACAACAGAAGAAGGUGCUGCCGUGGAAGCUGCGAAUGAAAGAUAUAAAUUUAUCACAAUUGGUGCAGGAUCCAAUCGAAAACUCGCUGAAGCCGAGACACAAACACCACAAAUUCAUACAAAAUCACAAGGAACAUAUAUUGGAAGACACACGCGUCGUAAUCAACGAACUUAUGUCAGUAAUUGGGAAAUGUUCGACACUUAUCAACAAUUGGAUAAAAUGGAAGAAAUUAACGGAAUGUUGUAUCCCCAAAAAUUGAAUUCUAAAACUCAUCAAAAAUUUGAAAACAAUGACAAUGCUGAACUAUCAGAUGAAUUGCUCCAUAUUUAUAACAACACCUCAUUUCGAGAAGCAUUGCGUGUCAUGUUGAGAAUACUAGCGAGUAAUUUAUACAUAACAGCACAAAAACGAUUUACAGGUCUCAUAAAACAGGAUCCUUACGCAAUGGAUCUUCAGUUUACGUAUAGUUUAGAUCUCCUUUGGGUGUAUUCAACAAAAGAGGUGAUUGGCCGAGCUGUAACAUGCUUCCGUUGGAGUUAUGAGAAUUCAAGUAUUCUUGCCGUUGGUUAUGAUUCAUGUUCACGAUAUCCAAAUAUUAAAGACGGUCUUGUUUUAAUUUGGUGUGCAAAAAAUCCAAGUCACUAUGGCCGUAAAUAUAAAUUUAAUUCACCAAUAUCAAGUCUCAAUUGGAGUAGAAGAAAGCCAAAUUUACUUGCCAUUGGUUUUUAUAAUGGAACAAUAAAUGUCAUUGAUGUGAGCAGUAAAGAUUUAUUAAUAGUUCGUCAAAGUCAAUUGGAAUCGUCACCAACGUUUGAGCCACAUUGGCAAAUUGAUUGGUGGUUAGAGAAUGAUCAUUUAGAGCAAGAGGAAUCAAUAUUCACUUCAAAUCAAGAUGGACGAGUUUAUUGUUAUCGUACCGGGGAAGAUUUUACCAGUACGGAAAUAAUGAAAAUACCAAGAAUCGAGGGUAAAAUAGAAGGUGUUAAACGAACAAUUUAUCGAAUUUCAAAUGAUGUUCCAAUUAGUCGAAAUCCAGCUGCAUUGAUACUUCGUAAGCAUCCAACAUUAGCGACAAUCUAUUUUAUCGGUACAGAUGAAGGUGGAAUUUAUCGAUGUUCAACAAAUUAUUUAUAUCAACAUAUUGAAUGUUUCGUCGCACACAAUGGAUCAGUUAAUGCAAUGGAAUUUUCUCCACAUUGUUCAAAAAUAUUUCUCACAGCUGGUGCCGAUUGGUGUACAAGAAUUUGGGUCGAAGGAAUUACAGAACCUCUUAUAACACUCACAACGGAAAUGUCCUGGGUUAGAUGUGCCGCAUGGUGUCCAACAAAUUCAACAAUUAUUGCCACAAUUGUCAAAAAUGAAAUUUGCCUUUGGGAUAUUAAGAGAAAAAUUUAUAAACCAACAUCAAUAACAGUAUUGCCAAGGGAUUGUACUCUACUUAUGAUUGAAUUUACAAAAAAUGGAAAUCAAUUGGUAGCUGCUGAUAAUAAAGGAGCGAUCUAUAUUUAUAAUCUCGAGGGUAUGCCAUUCCCUCCGUUCAAUCAGGUUCAGAUUUUAAUGACUUCGAUCGAAAAAGCUCUUGUCACGAAACCGUCGCUUUUUAAAAAAUUUAAGAAACUUGAUAUUACGUAAAAUGUUUUUUUGUAAUCAUUUAUCAAAUGUCAUUUGGAUAAAAAGUGCUUUGAUGAAGGAAGGAAGUAUAUACAAUAUAUAUAUAUAUAUAUAUACAAGAGAAUGCCCAGUUCUAUCCUAUAUGGGUAGAGGGGCUUCUCUCUUCUGUUGCCACUGCUCGCGGGCACGAUCUUCGCUACUGCAGUCAACAAGCAGUCUUAUUACGUCCGCACUCAAAUACGCGAACUAAGUACACACAUCUUAAAGACGGUCAUUUUAAUAAUAGUUUCGUCAAGAUCAUUUUAAUAAGAUGUUAUUAACAGAAUCUCAACUUUGACAUUGUACAACGUGACAAUUUAUAUAUGUCAUUUAUUUUUUCUGUAAAUUAAAAUUCUGUAUUAAAAAUAUUAUGUUUUUAUUAAAUAUUUUCUUUGUACUUUUCUAUCAGUGUUAAUUUACAAUGUGUACUGUCGAUGACUGAUGCCCUUCCGGUUCAGAGGUUAACUUGGGACGUUCCGGAAUGAUAUUCGCUAGACUGUGCAGACAAGCUUCUAUUGUGCGAAUUUCCGAUUGAAUGAACUUUGAACCUGAAAGUUAUGACGGGAAUCUGAAAUCCUUUUGCGAACUGGCCCUGUAAUCAUUAACAAGUUGGAGGUUCCAACACCCAUAUAACAACUGAGAUUUGAAAAGAUCAAGCCAACAGUCCAGAGGAAGCGAGACGACAAAUUUUCAAGUUGUUCAAGCGGGAUCUGGACCAACAAACGAAGGUCAACUCGUACAAUCAAAUGAAGACAGAAUUUCCUACAAGACAAAAGCUACAAAAGAGAAACGACAAAAGCUCAAGAGAAAAUUUUUCGAUUUUUAAAAAUGAAGAACUACAACCUGUAUUCUACAACAAAAAAUUUUUGUAAUCAACAUUAAUUAUUGAAAAAUUACAGAGAAUGGGUGUCCGGUGCAGGCGGUGGACCUGGUGGCGGAUUGUCCGCCACCAGCAGUGACACCGCCAUCCUCGCCAUCUUUAUCGUCAAGAUUACAAGAAUCUUUACAAUC